GACGAACGCUGGCGGCGUGCUUAACACAUGCAAGUCGAACGGAAAGGCCCUGCUUUUGUGGGGUGCUUGAGUGGCGAACGGGUGAGUAACACGUGAGUAACCUGCCCUUGACUUUGGGAUAUCUUCAGGAAACUGGGGCUAAUACCGGAUAGGAGCUCCUGCUGCAUGGUGGGGGUUGGAAAGUUUCGGCGGUUGGGGAUGGACUCGCGGCUUAUCAGCUGGUUGGUGGGGUAGUGGCUUACCAAGGCUUUGACGGGUAGCCGGCCUGAGAGGGUGACCGGCCACAAUAGGACUGAGAUACGGCCCAGACUCCUACGGGAGGCAGCAGGGGGGAAUAUUGCACAAUGGGCGGAAGCCUGAUGCAGCAACGCCGCGUGCGGGAUGACGGCCUUCGGGUUGUAAACCGCUUUCGCCUGUGACGAAGCGUGAGUGACGGUAAUUGGUAAAGAAGCACCGGCUAACUACGUG
This 468-nucleotide ribosomal RNA is filed under the name uncultured bacterium. RNAcentral's name for it is "partial 16S ribosomal RNA". It matches the Rfam family "Bacterial small subunit ribosomal RNA", at positions 28 to 507 of the family's 1533-position model. The record is from RNAcentral.